Prunus avium (sweet cherry) is the source of this 2172-nucleotide non-coding RNA. The record is from RefSeq and is a predicted model, not a curated record. NCBI's taxonomy places the organism in Eukaryota, Viridiplantae, Streptophyta, Magnoliopsida, Rosales, Rosaceae.
GCCGCUUCUUUUCCACUGUAAGCAAGAAGAACGCCGGCACCAGAAGGAAGAAAGAAGAAGAAAGAAGAGGAAAGAAAAAGAAGAAAGUUCUGCUCCACCAGGUCCAGCCUCUUCUUCUCGACUGCAUCUGCUUCACGAGCGGUUCACCAUGAACAACCUCUCGUCGUUCACAUUUCUCGACUCCAAUCCACUCUCCAAGCCUCGCUCUUUGGGGCCCCACUACCAUGGGCCCAUUCACCUCCAGCGUCCCAGAAAUGUUGUGGUAUGCUCGGUGAAGCCCUCAGUUGCCCCUCCCUCAUCUCUAAGUGUGUCUGGGUCCCCCAACCAGGGGCUAAGUCGAAUUGAGUCACUAACCCAGGUCUCAGGUGUGUUGGGCUGCCAGUGGGGAGAUGAAGGUAAAGGCAAACUUGUCGACAUCUUGGCCCAACACUUUGACAUCGUUGCUCGUUGUCAGGGUGGAGCUAAUGCUGGACACACCAUUUACAAUGCAGAGGGAAAGAAGUUUGCACUUCACCUUGUUCCCUCAGGUAUCCUUAAUGAAGAGACUCUUUGUGUUAUUGGGAAUGGAGUUGUGGUGCAUCUACCUGGUCUCUUUAAGGAGAUUGAUGGCCUUGAAUCUAAUGGAGUCUCCUGCAAGGGAAGGAUAUUGGUCUCUGAUCGUGCUCACCUCCUAUUCGAUUUCCACCAAGUAGUGGAUGGGCUUCGAGAAUAUGAGCUUGCUAAAUCUUUCAUUGGCACUACCAAGAGAGGUAUUGGACCUUGUUACUCUAACAAGGUUAUCCGAAAUGGCAUUCGAGUCAGUGACUUGAGGCACAUGGAUACUUUCCCUCAGAAGCUAGAUCUUCUAUUAUCAGAUGCGGCAUCAAGAUUCCAAGGUUUUGACUAUGGUCCUCAUGUGCUCAAAGAAGAAGUUGAGAAGUAUAAGCGAUUUGCUGAGAGAUUGGAACCCUUCAUUGCAGAUACAGUGUUUGUCGUGAAUGAAGCCAUCUCUGAGAAGAAAAAGAUUUUGGUCGAAGGGGGUCAGGCAACAAUGUUGGAUAUUGACUUUGGAACUUACCCCUUUGUAACAUCCUCUAGUCCUUCAGCCGGUGGAAUUUGCACCGGUCUUGGCAUUGCUCCCAGAGUUCUAGGCGAUCUGGUUGGAGUGGUGAAAGCAUACACUACAAGAGUUGGUUCUGGUCCUUUUCCCACAGAAAUCUUGGGUAAAGGGGGCGAUCUCCUUAGGUUUGCUGGUCAGGAGUUUGGCACAACCACUGGUCGCCCUCGUCGUUGCGGUUGGCUUGAUAUAGCAGCACUGAAAUACUGCUGUCAGAUUAAUGGCUUUUCUUCUCUCAAUCUCACCAAACUUGACGUUUUGUCGGAUCUUCUUGAAAUUCAGUUGGGUUUUGCCUACAAACAAAUUGAUGGUACACCAAUAAAAUCAUUCCCUGCAGACCUUCGUGAUCUUGAGCAGUUAAAGGUGGAAUAUGAAGUAUUGCCUGGAUGGAAGUCUGAUAUAUCUUCUGUCAGAAACUAUUCUGACCUUCCAAAGGCUGCACGCCAGUAUGUGGAAAGGAUAGAAGAACUUGUUGGCAUACCCGUCCAUUACAUUGGUGUGGGGCCUGGACGCGAUGCACUCAUUUACAAAUAAUCAUCACAAUAUUUAUUUCCUUUAGAUUCCAGAUGAUGUUCGAACUGUCAGAAGUAAUACAGAACUUCUGGUUUUGGAGGAAUUUAUUCCCUUUUAUGUCAGAAGCUCUUUUUUUGGAAUAGAAUUAAUUGUUCAUGGUUAUGAACUUGAUGCAACGCAUUCUCCACCCGGUGAGGCCACAUGAAGUCUAUGUUGUGUUUAGCGGCUGGGAUAAUUUUUUUUUCAGUAACAUUAGGUUAGGCAUGGUAGCAACUUUCCACAGACUUGCUGUAGCUCGACUGAAGGAUCUCUCAAAGAUGUACUUGACACUGGUCAAGCGUUGGAUCAAGGAUGGAUGAAACGGAUCGUUAUCUUGUCCAUUGUCCAGAGAAGCCGUCACGCAAGUCAUGUGAUUUUCCCAAGAGGGGCUUGACGAUGACAGCAAGAAUUUUUUAUUUUUUAUUUUAUUUUAUUUUAUUUUUUAUAAAAAUAAGUUGAGUCUGGUAGCUCCAAGAAGUAGCACUUGAAAAAGCACAAAAGGAAUAAAGGAGGAGAGAAGUAAA